UAGGGAAUCUUCGGCAAUGGACGAAAGUCUGACCGAGCAACGCCGCGUGAGUGAAGAAGGUUUUCGGAUCGUAAAACUCUGUUGUUAGAGAAGAACAAGGACGUUAGUAACUGAACGUCCCCUGACGGUAUCUAACCAGAAAGCCACGGCUAACUACGUGCCAGCAGCCGCGGUAAUACGUAGGUGGCAAGCGUUGUCCGGAUUUAUUGGGCGUAAAGCGAGCGCAGGCGGUUUCUUAAGUCUGAUGUGAAAGCCCCCGGCUCAACCGGGGAGGGUCAUUGGAAACUGGGAGACUUGAGUGCAGAAGAGGAGAGUGGAAUUCCAUGUGUAGCGGUGAAAUGCGUAGAUAUAUGGAGGAACACCAGUGGCGAAGGCGGCUCUCUGGUCUGUAACGGACGCUGAGGCUAGAAAGCGUGGGGAGCAAACAGG
This 429-nucleotide ribosomal RNA is filed under the name Gemmatimonadota bacterium. RNAcentral's name for it is "Gemmatimonadetes bacterium partial 16S ribosomal RNA". It matches the Rfam family "Bacterial small subunit ribosomal RNA", at positions 355 to 776 of the family's 1533-position model. The record is from RNAcentral. Lineage: Bacteria; Pseudomonadati; Gemmatimonadota.